RNAcentral lists this unclassified non-coding RNA (400 nucleotides) under soil metagenome. Its description in RNAcentral is "partial contains 5.8S ribosomal RNA, internal transcribed spacer 2, and large subunit ribosomal RNA". The stretch from base 1 to 122 matches the Rfam family "5.8S ribosomal RNA", at positions 35 to 154 of the family's 154-position model. The record is from RNAcentral.
GAUGAAGAACGCAGCGAAAUGCGAUACUUGGUGUGAAUUGCAGAAUCCCGUGAACCAUCGAGUCUUUGAACGCAAGUUGCGCCUCAAGCCAUUAGGUUGAGGGCACGUCUGCCUGGGCGUCACAUAUCGUUGCCUGAUGCCAGUUUCCUCGUGAUGGGUGACUGUGCAGGGCGAAUGAUGGCUUCCCGUGAGCAUUGUUGCCUCAUGGUUGGUUGAAAAUUGAGUCCUUGGUAGGGAGCGCCGUGAUAGAUGGUGGUUGAGUGACGAACGAGACCCAAUCAUGUGAGACCCCUACCGAAUUCGGCCUUCAUGACCCACAUGCGUCUUUGGAACGCUCAUGACGAGACCUCAGGUCAGGCGGGGCUACCCGCUGAGUUUAAGCAUAUCAAUAAGCGGAGGA